Molecule: ribosomal RNA, 393 nt
Filed under: Pseudomonas putida
Lineage: Bacteria; Pseudomonadati; Pseudomonadota; Gammaproteobacteria; Pseudomonadales; Pseudomonadaceae
Description: bacterial LSU rRNA
Rfam family: Bacterial large subunit ribosomal RNA
Source: RNAcentral
CCGAAUAGGGGAGGCGUAGCGAAAGCGAGUCUUAAUAGGGCGUUUAGUCGCUGGGUAUAGACCCGAAACCGGGCGAUCUAUCCAUGGGCAGGUUGAAGGGUAGGUAACACUGACUGGAGGACCGAACCGACUACCGUUGAAAAGUUAGCGGAUGACCUGUGGAUCGGAGUGAAAGGCUAAUCAAGCUCGGAGAUAGCUGGUUCUCCUCGAANCUAUUUAGGUAGCGCCUCAUGUAUCACUGUAGGGGGUAGAGCACUGUUUCGGCUAGGGGGUCAUCCCGACUUACCAAACCGAUGCAAACUCCGAAUCCCUACAAGUGCCGAGCAUGGGAGACACACGGCGGGUGCUAACGUCCGUCGUGAAAAGGGAAACAACCCAGACCGUCAGCUAAGG